This 250-nucleotide ribosomal RNA is filed under the name uncultured Chroococcidiopsis sp. Its description in RNAcentral is "partial 16S ribosomal RNA". It matches the Rfam family "Bacterial small subunit ribosomal RNA", at positions 796 to 1044 of the family's 1533-position model. The record is from RNAcentral. Lineage: Bacteria; Bacillati; Cyanobacteriota; Cyanophyceae; Chroococcidiopsidales; Chroococcidiopsidaceae.
CUAGCUGUAAACGAUGGAUACUAGGCGCUGAGAGUAUCGACCCUCUCAGUGUCGUAGCUAACGCGUUAAGUAUCCCGCCUGGGGAGUACGCGCGCAAGCGUGAAACUCAAAGGAAUUGACGGGGGCCCGCACAAGCGGUGGAGUAUGUGGUUUAAUUCGAUGCAACGCGAAGAACCUUACCAGGGCUUGACAUGUCCGGAACCCUGCCCAAAGGCGGGGGUGCCUACGGGAACCGGAACACAGGUGGUGC